This 253-nucleotide ribosomal RNA is filed under the name uncultured bacterium. RNAcentral describes it as "partial 16S ribosomal RNA". It matches the Rfam family "Bacterial small subunit ribosomal RNA", at positions 524 to 776 of the family's 1533-position model. The record is from RNAcentral.
UACGAAGGGGGCUAGCGUUGUUCGGAUUUACUGGGCGUAAAGGGCGCGUAGGCGGUUUGUACAGUCAGACGUGAAAUUCCUGGGCUCAACCUGGGGGCUGCGUUUGAUACGUGCAGACUUGAGUUCGGAAGAGGGUCGUGGAAUUCCCAGUGUAGAGGUGAAAUUCGUAGAUAUUGGGAAGAACACCGGUGGCGAAGGCGGCGACCUGGUCCGAUACUGACGCUGAGGCGCGAAAGCGUGGGGAGCAAACAGG